Molecule: transfer RNA, 73 nt
Filed under: Cricetulus griseus (Chinese hamster)
Lineage: Eukaryota; Metazoa; Chordata; Mammalia; Rodentia; Cricetidae
Rfam family: tRNA
About the family: Transfer RNA (tRNA) molecules are approximately 80 nucleotides in length. Their secondary structure includes four short double-helical elements and three loops (D, anti-codon, and T loops).
Source: Rfam by way of RNAcentral
UGGGUUGUAGCUCAGUGUUAGGGUGCCUGCCUAGCACACACAAGGCCCUGGGUUCGAUUCCCCAGCAUCACAA